AGUGAACGCUGGCGGUAGGCCUAACACAUGCAAGUCGAACGGCAGCACAGUAAGAGCUUGCUCUUACGGGUGGCGAGUGGCGGACGGGUGAGGAAUACAUCGGAAUCUACUUUUUCGUGGGGGAUAACGUAGGGAAACUUACGCUAAUACCGCAUACGACCUACGGGUGAAAGCAGGGGAUCUUCGGACCUUGCGCGAUUGAAUGAGCCGAUGUCGGAUUAGCUAGUUGGCGGGGUAAAGGCCCACCAAGGCGACGAUCCGUAGCUGGUCUGAGAGGAUGAUCAGCCACACUGGAACUGAGACACGGUCCAGACUCCUACGGGGGGCAGCAGUGGGGAAUAUUGGCCAAUGGGCGCAAACCUGAUCCAGCCAUACCACGUGGGUGAAGAAGGCCUUCAGGUUGUAAGGCCCUUUUGUUGGGAAAGAAAAGCAGCAGGUUAAUACCCCGCUGUUCUGACGGUACCCAAAGAAUAAGCACCGGCUAACUUCGUG
This 492-nucleotide ribosomal RNA is filed under the name uncultured bacterium. RNAcentral's name for it is "partial 16S ribosomal RNA". It matches the Rfam family "Bacterial small subunit ribosomal RNA", at positions 29 to 507 of the family's 1533-position model. The record is from RNAcentral.